ACUGCACUCCAAUCCUCUCUUUGGAACCUGCAACUGAAUAUUGCUCCUAAAUGGGAAGACUGUCUUGCAAGGGGACAACUGCCACAAUAUUGCCAAAAUGCAGACAACUGAAUUAGGGGAUUUAUUCUACCCAGGCUAUACUCAGCUACAAAUGAUAGGAGAACCCACCUAGAAUGGAGCAGAUGCAAGGCACACAGGUGAUGAUUUUAGUUCAUUGCAAGGUGGGUGUUCUGUCAGAUGUGCUCUGGACAAUA
Molecule: long non-coding RNA, 254 nt
Filed under: Homo sapiens (human)
Lineage: Eukaryota; Metazoa; Chordata; Mammalia; Primates; Hominidae
Description: non-protein coding lnc-VSTM2B-17:4
Source: RNAcentral